This 279-nucleotide ribosomal RNA is filed under the name uncultured bacterium. RNAcentral describes it as "partial 16S ribosomal RNA". It matches the Rfam family "Bacterial small subunit ribosomal RNA", at positions 505 to 784 of the family's 1533-position model. The record is from RNAcentral.
GUGCUGCCGCCGCGGUAAUACGGAGGGGGUUAGCGUUGUUCGGAAUUACUGGGCGUAAAGCGCGCGUAGGCGGACUAGUCAGUCAGAGGUGAAAUCCCAGGGCUCAACCCUGGAACUGCCUUUGAUACUGCUAGUCUUGAGUUCGAGAGAGGUGAGUGGAAUUCCGAGUGUAGAGGUGAAAUUCGUAGAUAUUCGGAGGAGCACCAGUGGCGAAGGCGACUUACUGGCUCGAUACUGACGCUGAGGUGCGAAAGUGUGGGGAGCAAACGGGAUUAGAUA